Olea europaea var. sylvestris is the source of this 2228-nucleotide RNA transcript. It is a transcript of the gene named protein TIFY 8-like, with no coding region annotated. Lineage: Eukaryota; Viridiplantae; Streptophyta; Magnoliopsida; Lamiales; Oleaceae. The transcript is spliced from 6 exons. The record is from RefSeq and is a predicted model, not a curated record.
ACAUUUGUCUCUGUAUGCGUGCAAGUCUGUCAGAGAAAAGCUAGAAAUAACUUUUACUUUUUAAUGCUCUGUUUCUCUCUCAUCUCUUAAAAAUCUCUGAUUGUAUGUUUUGUUUUUCUGAAAAAUCGUGCACCCUUUUCUUCUUUCUCCCUCUGAGUCUCACUCACAAUCAAACACCCACUCGAGCUUCAAAUAUUCAUGCUUGGUUUUUGUUUUUCAGUAUUUUGGGAUUAUUUUUAAUUUUUUUUGGGUGAAGAUUCUUGUUUUGAGGUUUUCUUGAAGCUUAGUUAUGGUGAAAAUGGUGUUCUAUUUCUGCACAAACAAAUAUAUAUAAAAUUUAUAUAUGAUACAUAUAUACAAGUAUCUGUAUAUAUGGCUCAUGCUCAAAGUAAAAGUAAUAAUGACUACUCAUAUGCUACUGUUGCUGCUACUAGUGAUGAUCAACAGAAGCUGACAGCAACUUUUCAUGAUUUUCUUGGCGCAAAAGGUCAAAAUCCUUUUCCGCCAGCCGGAGAAGGUGGCCAGCCAUCGUCCGAAGUGUCCCCAUCAGCUUCUGCCUCCCUUGGUGCCUCUUCUUGUGGUGGCCGUGGGCCCAUGUCGACCACUUCUGAUCUGUACUCCGAAAAACAUGUUGGCAGUCAUUUGGAGGGGAUCCCAUUUUAUCAGUCAAGAGGUGAGUUUAAAGGACUUGAGACAAGUAAUAGAUUCAUAGGAACCAAACGAAGUAACUCUGAUUCUUUUAUGGUGUCAUCAAAAGAGAAAUUUCCACAAUUGCAACCAGACGAGAGCUCACAUUUAAUGAAGCUACUACGACAUGCAGGGGGAGACCGACCUAGGUGGCCACAUGAUGAGGAAACGUCCUUUGUUAUGCAUCAGAUGAGACCAAUUUCGGCCUCUCUUAUAACUCAAUCUUCUAGUGACGGUGACUCCAAAUGGGAUCGACCUAUUCCAGUGAAUCUUGGGUCCUCAUCACAAUAUCCUCCACGUGCUGGUCAAGUUGCGCCAUUUGGGUACCAGACGCUAUCAAAUAGGUUUAAAGAUACGAAUCCUGGUCCUGCUGCCAUAUCUCGAACAGCUGCUGAUGAAGGAUCUAGGACUGGAAUUAAAGGAUCUGGAAUUUUGAGUUCUAUCAAUGCAACUAUAGGAGUUUCUGAGAGACUCUCUUCGGGAGUGCUUAUACAUACUGAUAAACAAAAGUCUGGUGCUUACAUUGCAGAGCCAGAAUCUGCUACACCCAGUCAACACAGAAUAGAAUCGGCCAGUUUUCAAAUGACUAUAUUUUAUGGUGGUCAAGCUCACGUUUUUGACAAAGUUCACCCCAAUAAGAAGUGGAGGUUGGAUGUCAUUAUCAAGUAAGCCUUUUCGGGUUUAUGUAUCAAGGAGUGUGUGUUUCUACUGUUGGAUCUUGGACAGGAAGUGUACUGAAGAUAUGGAGGAGCAUGUCUACAAAAGCCUCUCAUAAUGGUUGCUGGAAGCCAAGGGAACCUUUUGAUUCUGGGGCAUAGGGUUGUUACGAGCAAGCAUAGUUUGUAACAAAUAGUCAAGAUCUAAAAAUGUUUGGUGAGUCAUUCCCUUAGAAGCAUUUGAAAGCUCAUAUUUACUGGGAUUUUCUUCUUUUAUCCUGUUUACAAAAUGGAAUGUAGGUGCCGGAGAUAGUUGUUUUAGUAGUAAGAUUGGAAUAGUUUUUGCUCCCUUGAGUCGUUAUUUUGAUGAUUAUGCAAUUUUUUCUUUUCUUAAAAAUGCCCUAUAAAUUUUGUUGGUUUACCCUCUGAAAAUGGAAAAACAAGUUGGAGUUUUCAAUUGCAUUGCAACUCGAGAAUUUUAAAUUUUUAAAAUUACCAUUGAGAAUGUUUGUUUUAAACCUUCUUGAAGUGCCAAAAGGUUGUGGAUGUUGAAUUACUCAAACCUUUUUCUUGCAAGUCAUUCUUCUCUGCUCUUGUUGAUUUGCCACUCCACCUCAUCUUUGUCAUGAUCAAGUCCAUUUUGUUAAGGUUUUUCUUGUGACUGGUCUUUCAUGGGAAAAUUAUUACUUGUGAAUUGGUUCAAAAGAAAGCCUAUUUCUCUCUUUGUAGUCGUGAUGUGUAAUACCUAAAAAAAGGCUUGGAAGGGUAUUGAUCAUUUGUUUUUACGUUGUGAUGAUGGCUAUGGUGUCAAUUUUUUCAUGUAGUUGGUUUUCCACUCUAAUGCUCGGACCCUUCGAAACAGUUGGAGAACUUUUGUCGGACACG